This 893-nucleotide long non-coding RNA is filed under the name Physcomitrium patens. RNAcentral describes it as "long non-coding RNA (PPAT_LNC009339)". Lineage: Eukaryota; Viridiplantae; Streptophyta; Bryopsida; Funariales; Funariaceae. The record is from RNAcentral.
AGAAAUUAGAGUUUAAAGGAUAAUGAAUAUUUUUAAGAUUUUUAGCAAUGUGUAGAUUGGAUUGAAAAGAAUUUUUUUUGUAUAGAAACUAGACUUGAUUUCUAAUAAUUUAAGGGAAUUUUAGAGAAAUUCAAUAGUUCAAAAAGGAGAUAUUAGCAUUGGAAGUUCAAUAUUUAGAUUGGAGUAGGAGGCUAGCCAAUAUCUAAGCAAAUUUUAGGAUUUUUUUAUUUUUUAUUUGAUAAGUGAAAUUAUCUUCAAAUUUUUUAUUCUUAUUUUUAACUAAGAGAUUAAGAGAUGUAUAAAUUUUUGAGCAAAUCCAAUACUUUAAUCAGUAGAUAUUGGGAUUCUAAUCUACAUUAGGAUUGAUUUGAGUUGGUUAGUAUUUGGUUAGGGUUUGAUUUAGGAUUUAGGAUUUGAAGUUUUUCUAGGAUUUGGUUUAGGAUUUAGGAUUUGUUUAAGAAUUAGGAUUUAUCUAAUAUUUGAUUUAGGAUUUAGGAUUUAGGAUUUGUUUAGGAUUUGGUUUAAGAGUUAGAGUUUAGUUAUGAUUUGACCUAAGGUUUAGCUAAAGUCCAUUAAAAUUUUAAUUAGGAUUCAAAUAAGAUUUUAUUAAGAUUUAUUUAAGAUUUAUUUAAGAUUUAUUUAAGAUUUAUUUAAGGUUUUUUUUAAUAUUUUUUAAAGAUUUCUUCAUGUUUCUUUUGUAAUUUCUUAAAUAUUUCUUUUGGAUUUGAUUAAAGCUUGAUUAACAUUAUUGAGAUUUAAUUGGAAUUUAUUUAGAAUUCUAUUACAGUUUUUAGCAUCUUAUUAUUAUAAUUUUUGUUUUAUCUUCCAAAGCCAAGAGCUUAAUACAUUCUUAAGCAAGACUUCAUGUAAUAUGAUAGUGUUAAAUGAGAAAG